RNAcentral lists this long non-coding RNA (1413 nucleotides) under Panax ginseng (ginseng). RNAcentral's name for it is "long non-coding RNA (PGIN_LNC005221)". The record is from RNAcentral. Lineage: Eukaryota; Viridiplantae; Streptophyta; Magnoliopsida; Apiales; Araliaceae.
CAAAAUUAUAGUAGUUUUUAAAUAUUUUUAAGAUGAUCUGAUUCUGCAACGAUAUGGAUAUGAUUCUCUCCGGAACUCCACCGAUGCUCCACCCAUGUGGGCUUUUCAUCAUCUGUCGAGCACCAAACCGGCCCACCCACUCUCUUACAUCCUUUUCCUUCCAUUCAGUAGGGGAGAUUGGAUUGGUUUGUGACCUGUGACGUUUGGAUCUGGUUUUGGUGCCUCUUUCUGAUUUGAUUUGGUGUCUGUGGCGUUUGGAUCUUCCUAGCUAAAGCUACUACAAGCCUACAACAAUUUUCACUUGUAAGUUCCCUAAGACAAUUUUCGAUUAAUCUUGCAAUUUAAUUUCAAUUUAAAGAAAUAUUGUUGGAAUUGAAUUGAUGGGCUUUCAGUGAGGCUAAAUUUAUGAGAAAUUGGAGUUACCUAAUUUUGAUUAUAGAAAAAUUGUAUUUCUAUGCAAAUGUAUAACAAUGGUUGUGGGUUUCAUGAUAUAAGGCCGACUAGUCUAUGUGAAAAAAUCUCAUUCUAUCAUUACAACAUUGUAUGGCCCCAAAUGGCCAUUGUUGAAACCCUUGAUCCAAAUAAUCCAAUCAAACAGCAAAAGAAUUGCUAUGCUCACUUUUUAUAAAAAUCUGAAUGCAUAUUGUUUUGCUAUGGCCAAGUCUGUUUGCGAAAUCCUAAAUUUCAUAUUGUGAUGUGAAUUUAUUUUAAUUUUCAAAAUAACUACUUUGCACUUGCUAAUAGCCUAAUACUUUUUAAGUAGUUUACAAUAUUCAUUAUUGCAUUAAUCAAAAUCAAAUAAAGUCACGUCAAUUUUGAAUUAUAGGAUUUUUUAAAUUGAUAGAAAAAAAUCAAAUGGGAAUCUUUUUUUGUGGAACAGAGGGAGUAUAUCUGUACUGCUGUACAGAAUUCAUGAGAGAUGUGAUUGGAGAAAAUCCUAAGGAUGACUGAAGUAUUUGGUGAACAUAAGAUGAUCAAGUUUGAGUAAUGAAUUUAGUAAUAUCCCGAAUGAGCUUUGAGUUUAUGAACAACAACACAGUGACAAAAAAUGAUGACAAAAGAAGUAGCAUGAAAUGGAAAGGGGAAAGUUUUGAUUUUGAGGCAUACAUGGACUAGAAACGGACAGUGAUCAAGAGAUGGGAGUUGGAAUCAAGAAAAAAACUUUAAUUUCUGUGCAGAGUUGAAUUGGUCUACCAAAACCUUUUGAUCACAGGAUAUAGAUGAUGGAUUUACAUCAAUAUCUAUGCAUUCAGAUUUUUAUUUAUACUUGCUGAUUUAAUUUGCUCAGCUUUCACAAUUUGUUAAUUUAAUCAGUUUUUAAUUUACUCUUUCAAUCUUACUACUUUACAACAGUUUGUUAAUUUAAUUAGUUUAUCAUUUACACUAGAUGCUUACUGCUUUACUGCUAUGCAG